Molecule: ribosomal RNA, 466 nt
Filed under: uncultured bacterium
Lineage: Bacteria
Description: partial 16S ribosomal RNA
Rfam family: Bacterial small subunit ribosomal RNA
Source: RNAcentral
GAUGAACGCUGGCGGCGUGCUUAAUACAUGCAAGUCGAACGAUGAAGCCCAGCUUUCUGGGUUGAUUAGUUGCCAACGGAUGAGUAACUCACAAGUAACCUGCCCUUCUCUCUGGCUUAAGUCACGUCAACUAGGUCUAAUUCUGGAUAUGACUUCUCAUCGCAUGCAUGGGUGAGUAAUGAUUUAUUGGUUUUGGAUGGACUCUCGGCCUAUCAGCUCGUUGGUGAGGUAAUGGUUCGCCAACGCGUAGACGGGUAGCCGGCCUGUGAGGGACAACGGCCACACUGGGACUGAGACACGGCCCAGAAUCCUACCGGACGCAGCAGUGGAGAGUAUUGCGCAAUGGGGGCAAGCGUGAUGUAGCGACGCCGCGUGCGGGAUGACGUCCUUCGGGUUGUAAACCUCUUUCAGUAGGGAAGAAGCGAGAGUGACGGUACCUACAGAAAAAGCGCCGGCUAACUACGUG